UGCAGUCGGACGGGAUUUGGGAGCUUGCUCCUAAUGAGAGUGGCGCACGGGUGCGUAACACGUAUGUAACCUACCCUUGUCAGGGGGAUAGCCUCUCGAAAGAGAGAUUAAGCCCGCAUAACAUGGAGACACAGCAUUGUGAUUUCAUCAAAUAUUUAUAGGACAAGGAUGGGCAUGCGGAACAUUAGCUAGUUGGUAAGGUAAUGGCUUACCAAGGCUACGAUGUUUAGGGGAUCUGAGAGGAUGGCCCCCCACACUGGUACUGAGACACGGACCAGACUCCUACGGGAGGCAGCAGUAAGGAAUAUUGGUCAAUGGGCGCAAGCCUGAACCAGCCAUGCCGCGUGCAGGAAGACGGCCCCACGGGUUGUAAACUGCUUUUGCAGGGGAAUAACCCUCCCGACGAGUCGGGAGUUGAAUGUACCCUGAGAAUAAGGAUCGGCUAACUCCGUGCCAGCAGCCGCGGUAAUACGGAGGAUCCAAGCGUUAUCCGGAUUUAUUGGGUUUAAAGGGUGCGUAGGCGGCCUAUUAAGUCAGGGGUGAAAGACGGUAGCUCAACUAUCGCAGUGCCUUUGAUACUGAUGGGCUUGAAUAUACUAGAGGUAGGCGGAAUGUGACAAGUAGCGGUGAAAUGCAUAGAUAUGUCACAGAACACCAAUUGCGAAGGCAGCUUACUAUGGUAUGAUUGACGCUGAGGCACG
Molecule: ribosomal RNA, 701 nt
Filed under: uncultured bacterium
Lineage: Bacteria
Description: bacterial SSU rRNA
Rfam family: Bacterial small subunit ribosomal RNA
Source: RNAcentral